RNAcentral lists this small nuclear RNA (115 nucleotides) under Stegodyphus dumicola. Its description in RNAcentral is "U5 spliceosomal RNA". It matches the Rfam family "U5 spliceosomal RNA". Rfam says of the family: U5 RNA is a component of both types of known spliceosome. The record is from RNAcentral. Lineage: Eukaryota; Metazoa; Arthropoda; Arachnida; Araneae; Eresidae.
AUGCUCUGGUUUCUCUUCAUCUUCGAGCUAAUCUUUCGCCUUUACUAAAGAUUACCGUGGAGAGAACAUUACAAUGAGCCUAUAAAUAAUUUUGGAAUCCUCACCUGAUGGGGGU